Molecule: long non-coding RNA, 6637 nt
Organism: Betta splendens (Siamese fighting fish)
Lineage: Eukaryota; Metazoa; Chordata; Actinopteri; Anabantiformes; Osphronemidae
Exons: 2
Source: RefSeq, a predicted model, not a curated record
AUGGCAAAAAUUGUCUCUUCUUUAUUUCUAUGUCUCUUCCUUAUUUCUAUGCAGUUAUUAUACGAGUUAUGACUUAUGUUCUGCAAUUAAUAUCUUAUGUUUUGUCUUACUGUAUGCAUUUGACAUUUCACCUAGAUUGUUCAAUGGUUGUCUCUGCCUGAUAGACUCUCAACUCUAGCUCCCAAACCCAAGGUCAGGGAGUUGUGUCUCUGUCUGUUGAGACUUGGUGCUCCUUUCUCACAGAUAGUUGGACGUCAGCAAUGCAGGUGUGAGAAAGUAAAAAUCUUCACACACACUGCGACAGGGAGGAGAUGGUGCAUGUAAUUUGAUUGGGUUAGAAACACAUUCCACCCUAGUCGGACAGAGAAGCUAAAAGGCAGAAGCAACUUGAGGAUCGUGGGCUCUUUGCAUCACACCUUCGUGGUGUGUGCACUGAUCUCCCCAGCUGGUUUUUGGUUUGUUGAUGUGCACGAUCAACAUCCAUGCUUUUUAUUUGCUUUCCCCAUUAUUUUUAUUUUCUUUAUUAUUUCAAUAAAUUGCACAAAAGGACAACUCUCUCUCAUCUACUUCUUUAUGGAAAAUUUCCACCACAGAAAUUGGCGUUGUCGGCAGGAUCCCGCGGCAGGUCGUCUGGACGGUGUGACCAGGGAUGAUAGUCCUGAGGACUAGGGUCGCUCAGCCUCCAAACCUCUACAGACAUUCAGAGCUGGGAGGACUGCUCACCCGUCUGGAUCGCCUCUGACGAGAUCCACGAACUCAGAUUCAAACUCAAAUCCUAAUUUGGCUCGGCUCGGUGAGAGAGAUUCCUUUUAAUUUGGGAAAAAACAAAAAGAAAAUAUAACUAGGAAAAGAGAUAAUAAUAUUUCUAAAACGACUAUGUGGCUGAAAACAUCUAAAAUAUAAUAAUUAGGACCAAACAAUUUUUUUUAAUUAAAAAAUUUAAUAUUCGGGUAAAAAUUAAUUAGGUCAAAGUCUGCCCUGGUGGUCGAGACGGUGGUUGCUAAGGGUUGGCUCGUGGGACCGAGCUUGUUUUGUCUGUACUGAGGAUACAGACCAGUGUGCAGAUCUGAGCGCAGUCCAAAGGGUGUGGACAAGGAAAUAAAAGACGGCUUCUGAAAUACGGAGCGCGUUUGCAGGGGGAAGUGGUUUUGAGAUACGAGGGACCCGGGUCUUAGAGGGGCCUGACGGUGAGGGACCACUUCCGAGAACCCUGUCGCUGAUCUGAGCGGUUCCCUUUCUACGGAGACGUCCGUGGAAGAGAAAUUUCGAAAAAAGGUUCCGGCCGGAACACAUAAAAAUCUAAGGCAGGAAACCGCCGGGACUCUGAAAGAUGGGUUCGGGGCGAUCUAAGUCUCCACCACCAGACUGCAGCAUUACAAAAUUAAAAGUAAUUAUAAAAGUAAAAAGUAAAUAUGGUUAUUAGUGCGUUUCAUGUUUCCAUGAGUGGGAAACUGGUUAUGGGUUCAAAAGGAGAAUCGCUUUGUGUAAGGACAUAUGCACCUUAAAAGAAAAAUUAGAGACAAAAGAAAAUACUUGAAAAAGCAAAACUAUCAAAACUAAAGCCCUAAAAGAAACAAAAGAUGAAAGUAACGGAAAGAAAGGAGAUAACAACUCUGGGGAAGAAUUGUUUGCACUCUGCCACACCACACGCACACCACACACACACACAUCAUGUCAAGAUCAAAUGCUCCCACUGUUUCUGCUCUCUAUUCUAAUGCAGAACUGAGCGCGAUGAGGGUAAAUCCGGAUCUGGACUCCUUUCCCACCAUCAGCAGAAGAACCAAAGGAGAAGAAGCGCCGACCAACAACCAGAACAGGGUGGAAGCUCUGACACCACAGCAGCUGGAGGACACAGACCACAGCAUGGACGCCUCAGCGACUCUCACAACGUCUGCAGUCAUCACGUUCUGGGCUCAUCAGAUGAAACAGCUACUACAAGCGUGUGUGUCUGACACAGACACCUGCUUAUGACAAUCAGCAAAGGAAAACAAGGACAGAGCAACAGCAGAGAAGACGUGCUCUGACACAGACACUGGUUGAAACAACAGGAGAGGCUUCAGACGUGAUCGGCCCAAAAGAGCUGCAUGCGAGGAUCCAGGAAAGGUCUGUCAUCGAGGAACAACUGUCCCAUUGAAAGGCUUCACCCACUGGCGCUCACAUCAGACUGAUGGUUGGGGAAGGAGGAAGGUGACGGUUCCUUUUCACGUGACGUACAAGACGGUACCGCAAACACACACAUACAUUCAUACACGCAAUGAAGAAACACGCUUACAGCUGAUACACGCUCAAAUUCAUGUUCAUGCUUAUCUGCUCGCAAUGAAGAAUUGCUUUCUGCUCAAAAAAAUCCCAGGGUGAUUUUAAAAUGAUGACAAACAGCUAAAUGACAACUGCUGCAUGACUUUGCAGUCUGAUGGGUUUAAACUAUUUCAAUUUGCAACAAAUUCAGUAAUAAAAUCCUUCAUGUUUCUAAAAAGGGUUUGUGCACAAUAUAGGUUUGUCUGGCCAGACUAGAAGACUGUAGAAAAACAAAACAGACUGUAGGAAAAAAAAAAAAAAACUAUAGGAAGACUGAGACUGACUGAAACAGACUAUUAAUGACUAUUAAAGGGAAGACGACUAUUAGAGAGAAGUAAUAAUAAUUACUGUACGUACCAGACUAUUAAAGAAAACUUAUUGUUUCACUGUCUUGUGCAACAUCUGACAGAAAGACACCUUAACAUUAAUUGUUGCUUUCAAAUUUAUGCCCAGUUAAAUUUUUAGGAAGAGAUCUCAUGUGUAGUUUAGAUAUUUGAUUGAUUUCCACUCCAGACGGAGUGCAGGUUACAUCAACAGACAUUCUAAAUAAUCCCUCUUUUGUUGGUGUUAACUUCAGCUCAGCUGUGCUCUUAUCAUUGGCUGCUGAGGGGGGGCUGUAACUGAGGCCCUCACACAGGCUGCAUCACAGCUUGUUUAUGAUUUCACACACACACACACACACACACACACUGACAAACUGACCUCAACUUCCCUCUUUUGGGAUGAACACAGGUCUGCGCUUGCGAUUUCUUUUCCUAACGAACAAAAAGAUUUUGAUUUUUAUUCUACAGUUCCACACGUCCCUCUGUUAAAAACAUGAUGGAGACAGAUGACAGGACGUGGGUCCUUUCGUGAACAGAUGUCAACGGGGUGGAGACUGGUGAACGACUUCUGACCCCAUGUGAUGUAUUCACCUACUUUGCAUACUUUAGAAAACUUUUUUUUAUUCUGCCUGUUAUGUGCAGCAAACAGUGAACUUGGUACCUCCACAUUCUAAUGACACACUACAUGCUUUUGUUUUUAUUUUGAUUUUUCAGAGGACGCUCUGACCCAACACUCAGCCUUACAGGAAGCCCUGCUUCCCUGUGGCUCACACACAGACAUGAUGUAGGUUUGAUCAGAGGAUGUGAACCAGUGGUCAUCACACCUAAAUCUGACCACAGACCAUGUAAACAACACCACCCUCUUAAAGGAGCCAAAGAUGGCGUUACUGCAGACACCGCUAAGAUACUGAAACAUUGGAUGCUACAGGCCACAAAGAGCCUGUCUAAAUUACAGUUUGUUCAGACAAAGGUUAUUUUUCUGGGUCAUUGUAAUUACAGCUGAUGGCAAAUCCAUCUCACCCAACAGAGUUAAAGCAAUUUGAAACCUGCCUAAACCGUGCACGUAAAAACAGCUGAUGUCUUUUCUAGGUCUUUGUUCUUAUUGUAGGACCUUCAGUCCUAACUUUACUGUCUUUGAGGCCCCACUCAGGGUUCUGAUGCAGACAUCUUCAUCGUCCACUUCUUGUCUCACGUGGACGUCUGAGGCUGAACAACGUUCACUGACCUCAUGCUUGCUCUUCAGUUGGCUCCUACUUUGGGUCUUCCUGAUCUGACCCUACGUGACCUUUCACUCAAACAGUGGAUGAGAAAUCAGGUUGUACGACUUCUGUUCUUUUGUCCUCAUACUGUGUCUUUGAUUCUUUUGGAAUAGAUCACAUCUUUCUACAGCCUGAUGGCUUAGAUGCAACACCACCUUACUCAACAUGCUGAACAUUAUUAUCAAGAGGUCGUCUUGAAGUCUGGCUCUUUGCUAAGACACUACUCUGCUCAGGCUGCAGAGUUGAUCGCGUUGACUGAAGCUAGUAAACUAGCAGAAGGAGAGACUGUUACCAUCUACAGACUCCACAGAUGCUUGUCACACGUUGGUUCUCUGUGGAAGCAUGGGAAGCUUUGAAGUCUGAUUGCAAACCUAUCUUACAUCAUGAUAAGGUUCUGCUUUGCUGGACGCUGUCCUGCUACAGUACCUACAGCUAAUGCUGUUUGUAACUGUCCCACUCACAACAUCAGUGACGACUUUGUUUCUGCCGACAUGCAGCUGCAGACGCUGCUGCGAAGGUCGCUGCCCAACAACCCCUCCCUCUCCUGAUCCUCGUUUCCUCUCCUCAUCCUUGUUUCCUCUCUCCAACUCUCUCUAUCCUUUCCUUCCUAUCUCCCUGUGCUUUAAACAUUUUCUACCUCACAGGAACGCAGACUCUGGCUGACGCAUGGUUCCACCUGUAGCCACUGAGUCUGGUUUGGGCCUGAUGACACGCCGUGCCACCCAAACACCUUUUCCCCAUAAUUCAGAUUUCCCAACAGGUGAAAGCAGGCGACAGGACCAUUACACCAUCCAACCAGGGCACUGGGUGAUCGUUAAGGAGUUCAGGAGGAAGCACUGGGACUCCAAACGGUGGCGAGGUCCCUUCCAGGUCCUUCUGACGACCCACACGGCUGUGAAGAUCACAGAAAGAGUGACUUGGAUCCACUCCAUCCAGGAAGGUCCCGGAUCCGACAGACGACCCUCCAUCUACACCACACGAGAAAACCACCACUGACGAAAAGAAUUAAGAAGAACGACCCUCGCUGUGCUCACACACGCACUGAGGCGAGGCUGCGUUGACCGUUCAGCUAAAGGUGUGAGCCAAGCGCCGCCUGAAGCUGCGCCGAUGAAUCACACUAUCAGACCAUACAUCUACACACACGUUCCUGAGAAAACACACACACGAGCAGCCUUGAGUUGCCGACGCUGGACGACGUGUAGACUCUUCACAUCACGGGAGUGACAGUGACUCAGACGACAUUGGGAGGAAACCUGGCGGUGAUAACGAACCCCAAGUGUCUCUGUGAUCAGCUGAUCACAACCUGAAGAACCCCAACGAACUGUCAAUACUUCAACACACAGAUGAAAGACAACAGAAGCGGAAAUAUGCAUCAUCAUUCUGGUUAAAUCCCUGAAUCUCCUAUUCGCUCUAGACGCAAAUGUACAAUUAAAGAUCUGAAAGCAUUAAAUCUAUCUUAAGAAUAUAUGAAACAGAACCCCACCGGAAACCUAUGUCUAUCAUACAUUAAUUGUCUUUAUUACAUUACAAUUGAAUGGCCAUAGACACGUUGUUAGCAGAGAAAAGAGGCGUUUGUGUUAUGUUUGGAGACGCAUGUUGUACUUACAUCCUGAAUAACACUGAUUCUAAUGGUAUUGUGGCGAAGGCGCUACACGGCCGUCAGAAUCUCAGCUAACUCUGGUAUAGAUUCUUCCUCUUGGAAUUGGCUAGACGAAAUGUCUGGAAAAUGGAAAUCUGUUCUCAUGUCCGCAGCUGUUUCCUUUAUCAUUGAGAUGGCUGUGAUUCUCUUGUUUGGUUUUUGCGUUAUCCCACUGGUUAGAGGUCUCAUCAUGCGUGCGACCUCAGCAACACUCGUAUCAAAUGACACAAUGCACUAUGUUCAAAAAUCCCAACUCUAAUUCACUUAAUAACUUUGACGAUUGUCUUAGGCUAUCUGAUCACAAAAUAUAAUCUGAUACAAAUAUGAUUAUUGACUUAUUUUCUUCACAUGCUCAUACAGAGGUUAUUCUUGUAUAACUACCCACCAAAAACUGCUCCCAAUCUUUUGUCCCUAAGUUACUUGCAUUUUAUGUGAAGGUGUAUUUUGAAUCUUGAUGAGUUAAUACCCUAUUGUUUCAUUUGCAAGGAUCUUUUAUUAUUACAGAAUGUGAUGUUGACAAUUUUUCUUCUUAGUGGUUGAUUAAUGUGUAAUCAAAAGGGGGGAGUGUUAUGGCAAAAAUUGUCUCUUCUUUAUUUCUAUGUCUCUUCCUUAUUUCUAUGCAGUUAUUAUACGAGUUAUGACUUAUGUUCUGCAAUUAAUAUCUUAUGUUUUGUCUUACUGUAUGCAUUUGACAUUUCACCUAGAUUGUUCAAUGGUUGUCUCUGCCUGAUAGACUCUCAACUCUAGCUCCCAAACCCAAGGUCAGGGAGUUGUGUCUCUGUCUGUUGAGACUUGGUGCUCCUUUCUCACAGAUAGUUGGACGUCAGCAAUGCAGGUGUGAGAAAGUAAAAAUCUUCACACACACUGCGACAGGGAGGAGAUGGUGCAUGUAAUUUGAUUGGGUUAGAAACACAUUCCACCCUAGUCGGACAGAGAAGCUAAAAGGCAGAAGCAACUUGAGGAUCGUGGGCUCUUUGCAUCACACCUUCGUGGUGUGUGCACUGAUCUCCCCAGCUGGUUUUUGGUUUGUUGAUGUGCACGAUCAACAUCCAUGCUUUUUAUUUGCUUUCCCCAUUAUUUUUAUUUUCUUUAUUAUUUCAAUAAAUUGCACAAAAGGACAA